Long non-coding RNA from Alosa sapidissima (American shad), 584 nucleotides. RefSeq lists it as uncharacterized. The transcript has 2 exons. NCBI's taxonomy places the organism in Eukaryota, Metazoa, Chordata, Actinopteri, Clupeiformes, Clupeidae. The record is from RefSeq and is a predicted model, not a curated record.
GUUCAUUCAGAUGAUAACUUCAGCCGAAGCAUUAGCUAGUGGAGGUAAAAUUGUGAACCACUAUGACUAUACGUUGAACAUGGAGCUUAUAACGAGCGACGUUAGCUAGUCACCAUAACUGUUGUUAGUUAUAACUGACGUCUGAAACUCUUAUUGAUGCCGUUUAUUUGUUAAACACAAAUUUGAAUCAACACUUCUUGUCUAUGCAAAGUUUCCCUGUAGGUGAUCCAGACAGGCUGGGUGCUGGAGAGGGCUCUGGACUCCUAACUUCACUUCUCGUCUGUGCAGUCGACUCAGAAGCAUCACUUCAGCACUGAUUCCAUGAUCUGGAACAUUUUGAAAUCCUUCCAGAUGGGGCACAAGUCAUUGAGCAGUGGCAGCUUCUGACUUCAAAGACUUUGUUCACCAGCAGACCCCUUGAUGAUUACCUUUAUUUACAGCAUUUGCAUCUGUCAGUCUUUAAAGUGAUCUAAUAUGUAUUGACUAUGUACUAGCUUAGUACAUAUUAGUUUUUGUUAUUUUAGUUUCACAAAUUCAGUGGUUACCUGUAAUGCUCAAGAUAUACAAGUAAAAAAUCACCUUUA